ACAUUUUUGCAUUUUGUUAUACCUCUGCAGAUGUGUCUUGAAUCAUCUCCUUAGGGUAAACUCAUUAGGAUUCACUUCGGAUCCCCUGGAAAACUGGCUUCAGCCGAAACUGAAACCUGUGAGUCAUGCUGUUUUGCGACAAAUAUAUUUUUAGUUGGGAUGGCAUGAACUGCGUAUUUAAAGUCUGCUGAGAGGAGUUAUCUUCCACCAGCUAAUACUGGACAAAAGCCAGAGCUACUUGAAACAUGGCUUCUGAUAUUCUGGGCUUCAGCGCUGAAGAGAAAAUAAGCAUCUACAAGCUGACAGGUGCUGUGAUGCAUCUCAGAAACAUGAAAUUCAAGCAGAAGCAGAGAGAGGAGCAAGCUGAACCUGACGGCACUGAAGCUGAAGGCUACUGAGAUUUUCCAUGUAAACUGGCUGAAGAUCUGCACUGUAUCCAAAAGAUAUAAGGUUUGAGUUAUCGCCAUUGUUUCCUCAUGCAAACACUUCACAUUUUAGGCACUGUUGCUGAGAUGAGUGUACUGUAAUUUACUUUAGCUCUUCUUACAUAUUUAACAUGUUGAACAAUCAAACUUUUUUCUUUGUGGCCGAUAAAAUCACCUGCCUCAUAGGCCAUGGGACUAUGUUCUACCCCAGAGUGAAGGUCAGGUAUGAGUUUGUGAGCAAAGGCCAAACAUUGCCACAGGAAAUCUAAUGUUUUGAAGAUAAAGGUUUCUUCUGCAGGUAAAAUAUAAUGGCACAAAUCACAUGCUCGAUUUCUCAGGUGAACAAAUCAUGUCAUCAAAUCAAUGAGAUGUUCUUGUGGAUUGUCGUCUGCAUCAAUGAGAUAUUUGACACAAAGGAGCCAGGUCAUUUCUUCACUGGUGUGUUCGACAUCUCUGGAUUUUGAGGUCUUCGAUGUGUGACAGGAGUAAGAACUUGAAUUAUUGUUGUAUUAUUAGUUCAACAGCUUGGAGCAGCUUUGUAUAAACUUUGGAAAUGUGAAACUGCAACGGUUCUUCAACCACCACAUGUCUGUGCUGGAGCAAGAGCAGUGCAAGAAAGAAGGCAUUAAAUGGGAAUUUAUUGAAUUUGGUAUGGAUUUGGCUGCCUGAGUUGACCUCAUUAAAAAUUCACUAAUGAAAUUGA
Puntigrus tetrazona (Sumatra barb) is the source of this 1128-nucleotide long non-coding RNA. RefSeq lists it as uncharacterized. NCBI's taxonomy places the organism in Eukaryota, Metazoa, Chordata, Actinopteri, Cypriniformes, Cyprinidae. The record is from RefSeq and is a predicted model, not a curated record. The transcript has 2 exons.